AAUCAACGCUGGCGGCGUGCCUAACACAUGCAAGUCGAACGAGAAAGUGGAGCAAUCCACAAGUAAAGUGGCGCACGGGUGAGUAACACGUGACUAACCUACCCUUGAGUGGGGGAUAACCUAGGGAACUGGGCUAAUACCGCAUAAUACCUAUGGGUCAAAGGAAGCAAUUCGCUUUUGGAGGGGUCGCGGCAGAUUAGUUAGUUGGCGAGGUAAUGGCCUACCAAGACGAUGANCUGUAUCCGGCCUGAGA
RNAcentral lists this ribosomal RNA (253 nucleotides) under uncultured bacterium. RNAcentral describes it as "partial 16S ribosomal RNA". It matches the Rfam family "Bacterial small subunit ribosomal RNA", at positions 32 to 297 of the family's 1533-position model. The record is from RNAcentral.